GUCUGUAGAGGUUGGGGACAACUGGCAG
Molecule: non-coding RNA, 28 nt
Filed under: Cricetulus griseus (Chinese hamster)
Lineage: Eukaryota; Metazoa; Chordata; Mammalia; Rodentia; Cricetidae
Source: RNAcentral